AUGGAUAACUCUGCCCUUACAGCUUUCAUUUUCAAGCGACUCAGCCAUAAAUAUGCAAUGUAUUUCUUUAAAACUGCAGUAUAUCCUUUCCCCAAUCUUCAGAACAUGGAUAAAGAGUAUUUGGAUGCGACUCAUUCGAAGAUUGGGGAUUUUUGUUUAGGGUUUAGGAUACGGUUCUUUUAUCCUGAUGAGGGCAAAUGA
Vicia faba (fava bean) is the source of this 201-nucleotide non-coding RNA. Lineage: Eukaryota; Viridiplantae; Streptophyta; Magnoliopsida; Fabales; Fabaceae. The record is from the annotation of a GenBank genome assembly.